This is a non-coding RNA of Paramuricea clavata, 221 nucleotides long. NCBI's taxonomy places the organism in Eukaryota, Metazoa, Cnidaria, Anthozoa, Malacalcyonacea, Plexauridae. The record is from the annotation of a GenBank genome assembly.
ACUUUGUGAGUAAUUUUUCAUUAAAAUUAAUGCAACAAUAAAACAAAAAUAUGUCUAUUUAUAUACAUAUUGAUCAAAGGUCCCACAAUAACAUGCUGCUGAUACUUUGUGGUACAUUAUAUGAGAAUACAAAAAAAACCUGCAUAUAAUGCACCUAUCAAUGUUAAGUCCCAGAUGUGGGGUAUUUAAUCAUUAAUUGCAUCCCCACCCUAGGGAUUUUG